GUGGAGAGUUUGAUCCUGGCUCAGGAUGAACGCUGGCGGCGUGCCUAAUACAUGCAAGUCGAGCGAACAGACGAGGAGCUUGCUCCUUUGACGUUAGCGGCGGACGGGUGAGUAACACGUGGGUAACCUACCUAUAAGACUGGGAUAACUUCGGGAAACCGGAGCUAAUACCGGAUAAUAUUUCGAACCGCAUGGUUCGAUAGUGAAAGAUGGCUUUGCUAUCACUUAUAGAUGGACCUGCGCCGUAUUAGCUAGUUGGUAAGGUAACGGCUUACCAAGGCAACGAUACGUAGCCGACCUGAGAGGGUGAUCGGCCACACUGGAACUGAGACACGGUCCAGACUCCUACGGGAGGCAGCAGUAGGGAAUCUUCCGCAAUGGGCGAAAGCCUGACGGAGCAACGCCGCGUGAGUGAAGAAGGUCUUCGGAUCGUAAAACUCUGUUAUUAGGGAAGAACAAAUGUGUAAGUAACUGUCACGUCUUGACGGUACCUAAUCAGAAAGCCACGGCUAACUACGUG
This 520-nucleotide ribosomal RNA is filed under the name Anophryoides haemophila. RNAcentral's name for it is "partial Bacterial small subunit ribosomal RNA". It matches the Rfam family "Bacterial small subunit ribosomal RNA", at positions 1 to 507 of the family's 1533-position model. Lineage: Eukaryota; Ciliophora; Oligohymenophorea; Philasterida; Glauconematidae. The record is from RNAcentral.